Molecule: long non-coding RNA, 364 nt
Organism: Carassius auratus (goldfish)
Lineage: Eukaryota; Metazoa; Chordata; Actinopteri; Cypriniformes; Cyprinidae
Exons: 4
Source: RefSeq, a predicted model, not a curated record
AUAAAGAAAUGUGGCUCUGUAGUGGAAACCUGUGAGGCAGUGGACAGCUGCUGAUGUCUGAUGCUGGCUGACAAUAAACAGACCUCUCUGGACGUACCCCAUAUUUUGCAGAGUAAUUCUAACAUUGCCCUUCCUGUAACAUGAUGAUCCUGCUGUCCUGGACUGUAUAUGAUGAGCCUACACAGAAUCUCAGAACAGCAGUGGUAAUAACAGAGGACCCAUUAGAUGAGAGCGGCACUGCAGACUUUCCUGAUGGAGGAGAUCAUGGACAAUUUUCACAAGACUGAUGAUGUGUUUCAGCGGCCAUCAGCACAUAAAUUCCUCACAAUUUUUCUAUAUUUUGAUAUUAAAAAAAUUAUGUGCA